Molecule: long non-coding RNA, 267 nt
Organism: Cynara cardunculus var. scolymus (artichoke)
Lineage: Eukaryota; Viridiplantae; Streptophyta; Magnoliopsida; Asterales; Asteraceae
Exons: 4
Source: RefSeq, a predicted model, not a curated record
GGUUUACGGCUUGAGGAUUCAUCACAGAUUCAUUGGUUGAGAUGAGUUUUCACAUACCCAAUUCCAACAUUCAGUUUGUUGGGGAUGAAAACAAGUCUUAUGGAUGGUUUCCGGUGGAGAAAAUAUGGGCAGAAAGUUGUGAAGGGAAAUCCUUAUCCAAGAAGUUACUACAGAUGCACUGGUGUUAAGUGCAAUGUUCGGAAACAUGUGGAAAGAGCAUCAAAUGAUCCAAGUGUUUUCAUCACUACAUAUGAAGGUAAACUACAU